Heterocephalus glaber (naked mole-rat) is the source of this 157-nucleotide small nuclear RNA. Its record names the gene U2. It matches the Rfam family "U2 spliceosomal RNA". Rfam says of the family: U2 is a small nuclear RNA (snRNA) component of the spliceosome (involved in pre-mRNA splicing). Complementary binding between U2 snRNA (in an area lying towards the 5' end but 3' to hairpin I) and the branchpoint sequence (BPS) of the intron results the bulging out of an unpaired adenosine, on the BPS, which initiates a nucleophilic attack at the intronic 5' splice site, thus starting the first of two transesterification reactions that mediate splicing. NCBI's taxonomy places the organism in Eukaryota, Metazoa, Chordata, Mammalia, Rodentia, Bathyergidae. The record is from Ensembl.
AUCGCUUCUCGGCCUUUUGGCUAAGAUCAAGUGUAGAAAUGUUUGCAAAUGUGAUUUUAUGAGCACACAGUGCAAGGAAAAAAUUACACAUUUAUGCCUCUUAAAUUCUUAAUUAAAUACUCUUAAUUAAAUUCUUUUAAUUUCUGGAUAAACCAGU